Molecule: ribosomal RNA, 316 nt
Filed under: Staphylococcus aureus
Lineage: Bacteria; Bacillati; Bacillota; Bacilli; Caryophanales; Staphylococcaceae
Description: bacterial SSU rRNA
Rfam family: Bacterial small subunit ribosomal RNA
Source: RNAcentral
AAAUUGAAGAGUUUGAUCAUGGCUCAGAUUGAACGCUGGCGGCAGGCCUAACACAUGCAAGUCGAACGGUAGCACAGAGAGCUUGCUCUCGGGUGACGAGUGGCGGACGGGUGAGUAAUGUCUGGGAAACUGCCUGAUGGAGGGGGAUAACUACUGGAAACGGUAGCUAAUACCGCAUAACGUCGCAAGACCAAAGAGGGGGACCUUCGGGCCUCUUGCCAUCAGAUGUGCCCAGAUGGGAUUAGCUAGUAGGUGGGGUAACGGCUCACCUAGGCGACGAUCCCUAGCUGGUCUGAGAGGAUGACCAGCCACACUG